AUGAACGCUGGCGGCGUGCCUAAUACAUGCAAGUCGAGCGAACAGACGAGGAGCUUGCUCCUCUGACGUUAGCGGCGGACGGGUGAGUAACACGUGGAUAACCUACCUAUAAGACUGGGAUAACUUCGGGAAACCGGAGCUAAUACCGGAUAAUAUAUUGAACCGCAUGGUUCAAUAGUGAAAGACGGUUUUGCUGUCACUUAUAGAUGGAUCCGCGCCGCAUUAGCUAGUUGGUAAGGUAACGGCUUACCAAGGCAACGAUGCGUAGCCGACCUGAGAGGGUGAUCGGCCACACUGGAACUGAGACACGGUCCAGACUCCUACGGGAGGCAGCAGUAGGGAAUCUUCCGAAAUGGGCGAAAGACUGACGGAGCAACGCAGCGUGAGUGAUGAAGGUCUUCGGAUCGUAAAACUCUGUUAUUAGGGAAGAACAAAUGUGUAAGUAACUAUGCACGUCUUGACGGUACCUAAUCAGAAAGCCACGGCUAACUACGUG
This 496-nucleotide ribosomal RNA is filed under the name uncultured bacterium. RNAcentral describes it as "partial 16S ribosomal RNA". It matches the Rfam family "Bacterial small subunit ribosomal RNA", at positions 29 to 507 of the family's 1533-position model. The record is from RNAcentral.